Molecule: long non-coding RNA, 2199 nt
Filed under: Lathyrus oleraceus (garden pea)
Lineage: Eukaryota; Viridiplantae; Streptophyta; Magnoliopsida; Fabales; Fabaceae
Description: Pisum sativum (pea) long non-coding RNA (PSAT_LNC033747)
Source: RNAcentral
CUUUGUUAUCUAUUCCAUUAGGAACUGCAGAUUUUUUGGUACAUCAUAUUCAUGCAUUUACAAUUCAUGUGACGGUAUUGAUACUCCUAAAAGGUGUUCUAUUUGCUCGUAGCUCACAAUUGAUACCGGAUAAAGCAAAUCUUGGUUUUCGGUUCCCUUGUGAUGGCCCUGGAAGAGGGGGGACAUGCCAAGUAUCCGCUUGGGAUCAUGUCUUCCUAGGAUUAUUUUGGAUGUACAAUGCAAUUAAAAGCAAAUCUUGGUUUUCGGUUCCCUUGUGAUGGCCCUGGAAGAGGGGGGACAUGCCAAGUAUCCGCUUGGGAUCAUGUCUUCCUAGGAUUAUUUUGGAUGUACAAUGCAAUUUCUGUAGUAAUAUCCCAUUUCAGUUGGAAAAUGCAGUCAGAUGUUUGGGGAAGUAUAAAUGAUCAAGGAGUAGUAACUCAUAUCACAGGAGGAAACUUUGCGCAGAGUUCGAUUACCAUUAAUGGGUGGCUUCGCGAUUUCUCAUGGGCGCAGGCAUCCCAGGUAAUUCAGUCUUAUGGUUCCUCAUUAUCUGCAUAUGGUCUUUUUUUCUUAGGCGCCCAUUUUGUAUGGGCUUUUAGUUUAAUGUUUCUAUUCAGCGGGCGUGGUUAUUAGCAAGAACUUAUUGAAUCCAUCGUUUGGGCUCAUAAUAAAUUAAAAGUUGCUCCUGCUACUCAGCCUAGAGCCUUGAGCAUUGUACAGGGACGUGCUGUAGGAGUAACACAUUACCUUCUGGGUGGAAUAUGGUUCCUCAUUAUCUGCAUAUGGUCUUUUUUUCUUAGGCGCCCAUUUUGUAUGGGCUUUUAGUUUAAUGUUUCUAUUCAGCGGGCGUGGUUAUUGGCAAGAACUUAUUGAAUCCAUCGUUUGGGUUCAUAAUAAAUUAAAAGUUGCUCCUGCUACUCAGCCUAGAGCCUUGAGCAUUGUACAGGGACGUGCUGUAGGAGUAACACAUUACCUUCUGGGUGGAAUUGCCACAACGUGGGCAUUCUUCUUAGCAAGAACUAUUGCAGUAGGAUAAUGGCUAGGAGGAUUUGAAAAGCAUUAUGGCAUUAAGAUUUCCAAGGUUUAGCCAAGGCUUAGCUCAGGACCCCACUACUCGUCGUAUUUGGUUUGGUAUUGCUACCGCACAUAACUUCGAGAGUCAUGAUGAUAUUACUGAGGGACGUCUUUAUCAGAAUAUUUUUGCUUCUCAUUUCGGACAAUUAGCAAUAAUUUUUCUGUGGACUUCCGGGAAUCUCUUCCAUGUAGCUUGGCAAGGAAAUUUUGAGGCAUGGGUACAGGAUCCUUUACAUGUAAGACCUAUUGCUCAUGCAAUUUGGGAUCCCCAUUUUGGUCAACCGGCUGUAGAAGCUUUUACUCGAGGGGGUGCUCUUGGCCCAGUGAAUAUUGCCUAUUCCGGUGUUUAUCAGUGGUGGUAUACAAUUGGUUUACGUACUAAUGAGGAUCUUUAUACUGGAGCUAUUUUUCUAUUAUUUCUUUCUUUCAUAUCCUUAUUAGCGGGCUGGUUACCCCUACAACCGAAAUGGAACCCGAGCGUUUCCUGGUUUAAAAAUGCCGAAUCCCGCCUCAAUCAUCAUUUGUCAGGACUAUUUGGAGUCAGUUCCUUAGCUUGGGCAGGGCAUUUAGUCCAUGUGGCUAUUCCAGGAUCCAGAGGAGAUUAUGUUCGAUGGAAUAAUUUCUUAAGUGUAUUGCCUCACCCUCAAGGAUUAGGGCCACUUUUUACAGGUCAGUGGAAUCUUUAUGCUCAAAACCCCGAUUCUAGUAAUCAUUUAUUUAGUACUUCGCAAGGUGCGGGAACUGCCAUUCUAACACUUCUCGGGGGAUUCCAUCCUCAAACGCAAAGUUUAUGGCUUACCGAUAUGGCCCAUCAUCAUUUAGCUAUUGCAAUUCUUUUUCUCAUUGGUGGUCAUAUGUAUAGAGCUAAUUUCGGUAUUGGGCACAGUAUAAAAUAUAUUUUAGAAGCACAUAUUCCUCCGGGGGGUAGAUUGGGGCGUGGACAUAAGGGUCUUUAUGACACAAUCAAUAAUUCAAUUCAUUUUCAAUUAGGAUUCGGUAUUGGGCACAGUAUAAAAUAUAUUUUAGAAGCACAUAUUCCUCCGGGGGGUAGAUUGGGGCGUGGACAUAAGGGUCUUUAUGACACAAUCAAUAAUUCAAUUCAUUUUCAAUUAGGCCUUGUUCUAG